Molecule: unclassified non-coding RNA, 299 nt
Organism: Macaca fascicularis (crab-eating macaque)
Lineage: Eukaryota; Metazoa; Chordata; Mammalia; Primates; Cercopithecidae
Rfam family: Metazoan signal recognition particle RNA
About the family: The signal recognition particle (SRP) is a universally conserved ribonucleoprotein.
Source: Ensembl
GCUGGGUGCAGUGGCUUGUGCCUGUAGUACCAGCUACUCAGGAGGCUGAGGUGGGAGGAUCACUUGAGCCCAGGAGUUCUAGGCUGUAGUGCGCUAUGCCAGUUGGAUGUCCAUACUAAGUCUGGCAUUGAUAUGGUGACCUCUCAGGAGUGGGGGACCACCAGGUUGCCUAAGGAGGGGUGAACCAGCCCAGGUGGGAAACAGAGCAGGUCAAAACUCCCAUGCUGAUCAGUAGUGGCAUUGCCUUGUGAAUAGCCAGUCCACUCCAGCCUGGGCAACAUAGCGAGACACCAUCUCCA